CGGGGUUAGUGGCGGACGGGUGAGUAACACGUGGGAACGUACCCUUAGGUUCGGAACAACACAGGGAAACUUGUGCUAAUACCGAAUGUGCCCUUCGGGGGAAAGAUUUAUCGCCUUUGGAGCGGCCCGCGUCUGAUUAGCUUGUUGGUGAGGUAAAGGCUCACCAAGGCUACGAUCAGUAGCUGGUCUGAGAGGAUGAUCAGCCACACUGGGACUGAGACACGGCCCAGACUCCUACGGGAGGCAGCAGUGGGGAAUCUUGCGCAAUGGGCGAAAGCCUGACGCAGCCAUGCCGCGUGAAUGAUGAAGGUCUUAGGAUUGUAAAAUUCUUUCACCGGGGAAGAUAAUGACGGUACCCGGAGAAGAAGCCCCGGCUAACUUCGUGCCAGCAGCCGCGGUAAUACGAAGAGGGCUAGCGUUGCUCGGAUUUACUGGGCGUAAAGGGCGCGUAGGCGGACAGUUUAGUCAGAGGUGAAAGCCCGGGGCUCAACCUCGGAAUUGCCUUUGAUACUGGCUGUCUUGAGUGCGGGAGAGGUGUGUGGAACUCCGAGUGUAGAGGUGAAAUUCGUAGAUAUUCGGAAGAACACCAGUGGCGAAGGCGACACACUGGCCCGUUACUGACGCUGAGGCGCGAAAGCGUGGGGAGCAAACAGGAUUAGAUACCCUGGUAGUCCACGCCGUAAACGAUGAUUGCUAGUUGUCGGCACGCAUGCGUGUCGGUGACGCAGCUAACGCAUUAAGCAAUCCGCCUGGGGAGUACGGUCGCAAGA
Molecule: ribosomal RNA, 770 nt
Filed under: Phenylobacterium sp. enrichment culture clone g184
Lineage: Bacteria; Pseudomonadati; Pseudomonadota; Alphaproteobacteria; Caulobacterales; Caulobacteraceae
Description: bacterial SSU rRNA
Rfam family: Bacterial small subunit ribosomal RNA
Source: RNAcentral